Molecule: ribosomal RNA, 398 nt
Filed under: uncultured organism
Description: bacterial SSU rRNA
Rfam family: Bacterial small subunit ribosomal RNA
Source: RNAcentral
CGCUUAACACAUGCAAGUCGGACGGGGCAUGAUUGGGUAGCAAUACUUGAUCAUGCUUAGUGGCGGACGGGUGAGUAACACGUAGGUAACCUACCCUUGAGAGGGGGGCAACUCAGGGAAACCUGGGCUAAUACCCCAUAAGACCACGCACUGGGAUGUUAGUGGUAAAAAGUAGAGAUACGCUUAAGGAUGGGCCUGCGGCCUAUUAGCUAGUUGGUAGGGUAAAGGCCUACCAAGGCAGUGAUGGGUAGCUGGUGGAAGAGGAUGGACACCCACACUGGGACUGAGACACGGCCCAGACUCCUACGGGAGGCAGCAGUGAGGAAUCUUGCGCAAUGGGGGGAACCCUGACGCAGCGACGUCGCGUGGUGGUUUAAGGCCUUCGGGUUGUAAACUCC